UGGGGAAUAUUGGGCAAUGGGCGAAAGCCUGACCCAGCAACGCCGCGUGAGGGAAGAAGGUUCUCGGAUUGUAAACCUCUGUCCCAAGAGAAGAGGGAAAGACGGUAUCUUGGGAGGAAGCCCCGGCUAACUACGUGCCAGCAGCCGCGGUAAUACGUAGGGGGCGAGCGUUGUCCGGAAUGAUUGGGCGUAAAGGGCGCGUAGGCGGCCAUUUAAGUCUGGAGUGAAAGUCCUGCUUUUAAGGUGGGAAUUGCUUUGGAAACUGGAUGGCUUGAGUGCAGGAGAGGUUAUCGGAAUUCCCGGUGUAGCGGUGAAAUGCGUAGAGAUCGGGAGGAACACCAGUGGCGAAGGCGGGUAACUGGACUGCAACUGACGCUGAGGCGCGAAAGUGUGGGGAGCAAACAGG
This 406-nucleotide ribosomal RNA is filed under the name uncultured bacterium. Its description in RNAcentral is "bacterial SSU rRNA". It matches the Rfam family "Bacterial small subunit ribosomal RNA", at positions 355 to 776 of the family's 1533-position model. The record is from RNAcentral.